This 497-nucleotide ribosomal RNA is filed under the name uncultured bacterium. RNAcentral describes it as "partial 16S ribosomal RNA". It matches the Rfam family "Bacterial small subunit ribosomal RNA", at positions 28 to 507 of the family's 1533-position model. The record is from RNAcentral.
GAUGAACGCUGGCGGCGUGCCUAAUACAUGCAAGUCGAGCGAACAGAUGAGGAGCUUGCUCCUCUGACGUUAGCGGCGGACGGGUGAGUAACACGUGGAUAACCUACCUAUAAGACUGGGAUAACUUCGGGAAACCGGAGCUAAUACCGGAUAAUAUAUUGAACCGCAUGGUUCAAUAGUGAAAGACGGUUUUGCUGUCACUUAUAGAUGGAUCCGCGCCGCAUUAGCUAGUUGGUAAGGUAACGGCUUACCAAGGCAACGAUGCGUUGCCGACCUGAGAGGGUGAUCGGCCACACUGGAACGGAGACACGGUCCAGACGCCUACGGGAGGCAGCAGUAGGGAAUCUUCCGCAAUGGGCGAAAGCCUGACGGAGCAAUGCCGCGUGAGUGAUGAAGGUCUUCGGAUCGUAAAACUCUGUUAUGAGGGAAGAACAAAUGUGUAAGUAACUAUGCACGUCUUGACGGUACCGAAUCAGAAAGCCACGGCUAACUACGUG